UGGGGAAUAUUGCACAAUGGGCGCAAGCCUGAUGCAGCCAUGCCGCGUGUAUGAAGAAGGCCUUCGGGUUGUAAAGUACUUUCAGUCGGGAGGAAGGUGUCAAGGUUAAUAACCUUGGCAAUCGACGUUACCGACAGAAGAAGCACCGGCUAACUCCGUGCCAGCAGCCGCGGUAAUACGGAGGGUGCAAUCGUUAAUCGGAAUUACUGGGCGUAAAGCGCACGCAGGCGGUUGAUUGAGUCAGAUGUGAAAUCCACGGGCUUAACCCGGGAUUUGAAACUGAUAAUGGUCAGCUAGAGUAUUGUAGAGGGGGGUAGAAUUCCAUGUGUAGCGGUGAAAUGCGUAGAAAUGUGGAGGAAAACCGGGGGCGAGGGCAGCCGCCUGGACAAAGAAUGACGAUAAGGAGCGAAAGCGUGGGGAGCAAACAGG
Molecule: ribosomal RNA, 429 nt
Filed under: Chloroflexota bacterium
Lineage: Bacteria; Bacillati; Chloroflexota
Description: Chloroflexi bacterium partial 16S ribosomal RNA
Rfam family: Bacterial small subunit ribosomal RNA
Source: RNAcentral